UACGUAGGGUGCAAGCNUUAAUCGGAAUUACUGGGCGUAAAGCGUGCGCAGGUGGUCAUGUAAGUCAGAUGUGAAAUCCCCGGGCUCGACCUGGGAAUGGCAUUUNAGACUGCACGACUAGAGGAUGGCAGAGGGGGGUAGAAUUCCACGUGUAGCAGUGAAAUGCGUAGAGAUGUGGAGGAAUACCGAUGGCGAAGGCAGCCCCCUGGGCUAUAACUGACACUCAUGCACAAAGCGUGGGGAGCAAACAGGAUUAGAUACCCUGGUAGUCCACGGCCUAAACGAUGUCAACU
This 293-nucleotide ribosomal RNA is filed under the name uncultured beta proteobacterium. RNAcentral describes it as "partial 16S rRNA". It matches the Rfam family "Bacterial small subunit ribosomal RNA", at positions 524 to 817 of the family's 1533-position model. The record is from RNAcentral. Lineage: Bacteria; Pseudomonadati; Pseudomonadota; Betaproteobacteria.